RNAcentral lists this ribosomal RNA (807 nucleotides) under uncultured bacterium. Its description in RNAcentral is "bacterial SSU rRNA". It matches the Rfam family "Bacterial small subunit ribosomal RNA", at positions 8 to 798 of the family's 1533-position model. The record is from RNAcentral.
AGAGUUUGAUCCUGGCUCAGGACGAACGCUGGCGGCGUGCCUAAUACAUGCAAGUAGAACGCUGAAGAGAGGAGCUUGCUCUUCUUGGAUGAGUUGCGAACGGGUGAGUAACGCGUAGGUAACCUGCCUGGUAGCGGGGGAUAACUAUUGGAAACGAUAGCUAAUACCGCAUAAAAUUGAUUAUUGCAUGAUAAUUAAUUGAAAGAUGCAAUUGCAUCACUACCAGAUGGACCUGCGUUGUAUUAGCUAGUUGGUGAGGUAACGGCUCACCAAGGCGACGAUACAUAGCCGACCUGAGAGGGUGAUCGGCCACACUGGGACUGAGACACGGCCCAGACUCCUACGGGAGGCAGCAGUAGGGAAUCUUCGGCAAUGGGGGGAACCCUGACCGAGCAACGCCGCGUGAGUGAAGAAGGUUUUCGGAUCGUAAAGCUCUGUUGUAAGAGAAGAACGGGUGUGAGAGUGGAAAGUUCACACUGUGACGGUAUCUUACCAGAAAGGGACGGCUAACUACGUGCCAGCAGCCGCGGUAAUACGUAGGUCCCGAGCGUUGUCCGGAUUUAUUGGGCGUAAAGCGAGCGCAGGCGGUUAGAUAAGUCUGAAGUUAAAGGCUGUGGCUUAACCAUAGUAUGCUUUGGAAACUGUUUAACUUGAGUGCAGAAGGGGAGAGUGGAAUUCCAUGUGUAGCGGUGAAAUGCGUAGAUAUAUGGAGGAACACCGGUGGCGAAAGCGGCUCUCUGGUCUGUAACUGACGCUGAGGCUCGAAAGCGUGGGGAGCAAACAGGAUUAGAUACCCCGGUAGUCCAA